GCAUAUCAAUAAGCGGAGGAAAAGAAACCAACAGGGAUUGCCCUAGUAACGGCGAGUGAAGCGGCAACAGCUCAAAUUUGAAAUCUGGCGCAAGCCCGAGUUGUAAUUUGUAGAGGAUGCUUCUAGGUAGCGACCGGUCUAAGUUCCUUGGAACAGGACGUCAUAGAGGGUGAGAAUCCCGUAUGUGACCGGCCCGCACCUUCUACGUAGCUCCUUCGACGAGUCGAGUUGUUUGGGAAUGCAGCUCUAAAUGGGAGGUAAAUUUCUUCUAAAGCUAAAUACCGGCCAGAGACCGAUAGCGCACAAGUAGAGUGAUCGAAAGAUGAAAAGCACUUUGGAAAGAGAGUUAAAAAGCACGUGAAAUUGUUGAAAGGGAAGCGCUUACAACCAGACUUCUGGGCGGUGUUCCGCCGGUCUUUUGACCGGUCUACUCGCCGUCCCGAGGCCAACAUCAUCUCGGACCGCCGGAUAAGACCUCAGGAAUGUAGCUCCCCUCGGGGAGUGUUAUAGCCUGUGGUGAUGCGGCGCGUCUGGGGUGAGGUCCGCGCUUCGGCAAGGAUGUUGGCGUAAUGGUUGUCAGCGGCCCGUCUUGAAACACGGACCAAGGAGUCUAACAUCUAUGCGAGUGUUCGGGUGUCAAACCCCUACGCGUAAUGAAAGUGAACGGAGGUGGGAAGGGUAACCUGCACCAUCGACCGAUCCUGAUGUCCUCGGAUGGAUUUGAGUAAGAGCAUAGCUGUUGGGACCCGAAAGAUGGUGAACUAUGCCUGAAUAGGGUGAAGCCAGAGGAAACUCUGGUGGAGGCUCGCAGCGGUUCUGACGUGCAAAUCGAUCGUCAAAUUUGGGUAUAGGGGCGAAAGACUAAUCGAACCAUCUAGUAGCUGGGUUCCUGCGA
This 895-nucleotide ribosomal RNA is filed under the name Ramularia heraclei. Its description in RNAcentral is "LSU rRNA". It matches the Rfam family "Eukaryotic large subunit ribosomal RNA", at positions 38 to 964 of the family's 3401-position model. Lineage: Eukaryota; Fungi; Ascomycota; Dothideomycetes; Mycosphaerellales; Mycosphaerellaceae. The record is from RNAcentral.